GUUUAAUUAUUUGAAGUAUCUCCUGAUAUGUCUUUAUUUACAAAUUUGGAGUUGAAUGUGACUCCAUUGUAAUGAGUGAUGAGAUUUUUUUCUAAGAUAUAGCUUUGGGGAUUAUGAUUUCUGCAGAAUCAACUUUUACGUUUGCAAUUUAAGCAAAUAUCAGUAGGUUCGUUUCAAAGUUCAAAUUGUGCUAAAAUGUAUAAUACAACUGACUUCAUGAUUACUCUUAACACCAUCUUUGGAGAAAUUUUGGUGAGGAAGGAAAAUGAGAGGAAUGA
This 278-nucleotide unclassified non-coding RNA is filed under the name Hevea brasiliensis (rubber tree). The record is from RNAcentral. Lineage: Eukaryota; Viridiplantae; Streptophyta; Magnoliopsida; Malpighiales; Euphorbiaceae.